AUGUGCCAAAAGAAAAGUCAGACCAAAGGAACACUCUGCCCAUCCCCAACAAUGCCAGUGAUCAAGUCAAACAUGACCAAAGGAACAUUCUGCCCAUCCC
Asterias rubens (European starfish) is the source of this 100-nucleotide long non-coding RNA. RefSeq lists it as uncharacterized. Lineage: Eukaryota; Metazoa; Echinodermata; Asteroidea; Forcipulatida; Asteriidae. The record is from RefSeq and is a predicted model, not a curated record. The transcript is spliced from 3 exons.